UGCGUAGGCGGCGCGGAAAGUUGGGUGUGAAAUCCCUCGGCUCAACCGAGGAAUUGCGCCCAAAACUUCCGUGCUCGAGGAAGAUAGAGGUGAGCGGAACUUAGGGUGGAGCGGUGAAAUGCGUUGAUAUCCUAAGGAACACCGGUGGCGAAAGCGGCUCACUGGAUCUUUUCUGACGCUGAGGCACGAAAGCUAGGGUAGCGAACGG
This 208-nucleotide ribosomal RNA is filed under the name uncultured bacterium. RNAcentral's name for it is "partial 16S ribosomal RNA". It matches the Rfam family "Bacterial small subunit ribosomal RNA", at positions 568 to 775 of the family's 1533-position model. The record is from RNAcentral.